GAUUCCCUCAGUAAUGGCGAAUGAACAGGGAUCAGCUCAGCAUGGAAAUUGGGGCCCUCGGCCUUGAAUUGUAGUCUCGAGAUGCAUCGCCAAUGGAGGCGCAGAUGUAAGCCUCUUGGAAAAGAGCAUCAACGAGGGUGAGAGUCCCGUUUGUCAUCUGCAGUCCCCCAUGCACGGCGUGCCUUCUAAGAGUCGCGUUCCUCGGAAUUGGAGCGUAAAUUGGGUGGUAAAUUUCAUCUCAAGCUAAAUAUUGGUUCGAGACCGAUAGCAAACAAGUACCAUGAGGGAAAGGUGAAAAGGACUUUGAAAAGAGAGUUAAAAGUGCCUGAAAUUGCUGAAAGGGAAGCGAAUGGAACCAGUGUUGCUUGGCGAGAUUGUCAUACGCAUUCGCGUGUGGUGGUUCUUGCCUUGUGUGUCAACGCCAGUUCGCGAUCGAGGAAAACUCUUGGGACAUGGUAGCCUGUCUUCGGGCGGGUGAAUGUGCCUUGUAGAACUCAUUUGCGGACUGAUUACUUCGUGUCUGGUUGCAGCGCUUCUUGUCGCUUGGACGUGCUUGGGCGUGGGAGCUUGCUCCUCGCGCCCAGCGCUCUGGUGACUGGGCGCUUCCCUGACACAUAGACGAUGACUAAAUGGUUCUUUUCGACCCGUCUUGAAACACGGACCAAGGAGUCUAACAUAUGUGCGAGUCCACGGGUGGUAAACCUGCUGGCGCAGUGAAAGCGACUGCUGGGAUUUUUGCACCAGCAACCGACCAAUCAAUUGAGAGAGGUUUGAGUAUGAGCAUAUCUGUUAGGACCCGAAAGAUGGUGAACUAUGCCUGAGAAGGGCAAACUCAGGGGAAACUCUGAUGGAGGCUCGUAGCGAUACUGACGUGCAAAUCGUUCGUCAUACUUGGGUAUAGGGGCGAAAGACUAAUCGAACCAUCUAGUAGCUGGUUCCCUCCGAAGUUUCCCUCA
RNAcentral lists this ribosomal RNA (956 nucleotides) under Prorocentrum mexicanum. Its description in RNAcentral is "partial large subunit ribosomal RNA". It matches the Rfam family "Eukaryotic large subunit ribosomal RNA", at positions 73 to 975 of the family's 3401-position model. Lineage: Eukaryota; Dinophyceae; Prorocentrales; Prorocentraceae. The record is from RNAcentral.